GUAAUUAAGUACUGCAGUGAAAGCAAACAGGGAAGGACCAAAACUGGCCCUUGAAUCUGAAGAUCAGCAAGCGACUGCUGACCUCUUAAAGGUUUAUCUCGCAGAGGGGGAAUGAAAGCCAGACUAACUGGGUUGAAGUAAAGACAAUGUGCGUAGAAUGCCCUUGAUGGUGUAGAAAGAAAAAACAACCUGAUAGUCUAGUAGGCAGGAGGAGUUGAGGCAAAAACUCAAGAAGAUCUCAAUGUAUUUUUAGGAUGACAGGACAAAGCCAAUAGAGAGGAAGAUAGUGAAGAGCUAAGAGGGUGGGGUCCUAAUCUACUAAGACUACUGUCCUUACAUGAAGAAGUGACACCAGGAUGUGCACCCACAGAGAAGAGACCAUGAAGAGGCAGCAAGAUGGCAGCCAUCUGCCAGCUGAGGAGAAAGGCCUCCGAGUAAAGCAACCCUUAACACUGGGACUUCAGCCUCCAGAACUAUGAGGAAGAAUGGUAAAUGUUACCACUCAAUUUCAGCAACAGAGAAUGCAUAUUUAUAUGUGCUAUUAACUUACACAUUCUGGAACUUUCAAUCCUCUUACAGUCACAUACAAUGUUGAUGGGUAAUGAUUUCUUGGAUGUUUUGACCACCAUUCAAAAACCUCAACAACAUUUAAUUGGGAUCGAGUCUUAGGAGAUUCACUGAACACUUUCUGUGUGCCACUAACAUGCUGCGAGCUAGCGAUAACUAUGCAAGAGAAGUUUCAAUAGAGUGAUAUAUCAAAUGCAAAGAGAUAUGGUAAAAUAAGGACUUAUAUAUAUUCAACAAAUUUGUGAAAAAGAAGUCUCUGGUGACUCUGAAAAACUUACAAUCUAAUGAAGGAAAUACGUAAGUGUUCUAAUAGAGAAAAUGCAUGGAAUAUUUUCCCUUUAUAGGGAUUGGAUAUGGGAGAAUUUCUGAUUUGCCAUUGCUGCCAAUGGCAUAAAAAUGGAUAAAUAAAAAUCUACAUGAUACUUAAAAGGAAAAAA
Suricata suricatta (meerkat) is the source of this 1004-nucleotide long non-coding RNA. RefSeq lists it as uncharacterized. The record is from RefSeq and is a predicted model, not a curated record. NCBI's taxonomy places the organism in Eukaryota, Metazoa, Chordata, Mammalia, Carnivora, Herpestidae. The transcript has 4 exons.